This 885-nucleotide long non-coding RNA is filed under the name Pan troglodytes (chimpanzee). RNAcentral's name for it is "lincRNA". The record is from RNAcentral. Lineage: Eukaryota; Metazoa; Chordata; Mammalia; Primates; Hominidae.
GCCUAUGAUCUACAGUGCCCAUUCCAACUCAGAGAAUCUUUACAUCUGGAGAUCUAUAGCAGGGCUAUCCCUAGUGACAUGCGUGAAGAAGCUUGGAAAUGGUGCUGGGUAGGAGCUGAGUGUGCAGAAUGUGGAAAGGCAUUCUAAACCAAAGGAAGAACACGAGUAAAGAUGAUGAAGCAGGGAUAAGGCUAAAAUGAAAUUUGUGAUCUGAUCCACAUACAAGCACAGUGUAGUACAGCUGGAAUAUAGAGAAGAGCUUGAAGACUUAUGAGCAACUAUCCCGGUACUCUUGGAGGCUCUGCAACCACAGUUUGAGAAACUCCGCGUUCAAAGUUAAAAACUGUCACCUGAAUAGUUAAUAACAUCAAAGAUUGUGAAAGCAAGUAUAAAUAACACAGAGAUUAAAAUAAUGAGGCAGGAUCAGAAAAUGUCCAUUGCAAUCAGAAGCUCACCGAAAGUGCUUAGCUGAGUGGAGAAUGAUUUCUCAGUGUUGUAUUUGCUCUGAAGAGUCUGAAUUCUUGGGGAGGCAGAAGCUGGAAAAAACAAGAAGGAAGAUCUCCCAUAGAUUUUCAAGGUGCUGAGAAAACAGCUUCUAGACAUAUCUCGAAAGCCAAGUUUCUGAGAUGUAAUCAGAAAGCUGUAGUGGAAGGAAAUUUGAACCAGAAGACUGCAGUCCUGUCUAUGAACGUUAAACCUGUGUGGCUUAGGAAACGAGUCUAACCUCUCUGAGCCUCAGUUUGUUCACCUAAAAGAUGGAGAUGAGAGCUCAUUUGUCUCAUUCUCAGGGGUUAUGGUGGCCAUCCAGACAUAAAGAAAUUAGAACGUUCAUUCAUCUGCAGAUGCUCACACAUUCCUACAGGAUGACUGAAACCCACAGCAAAC